CCGGUGGUGGUGGUUAGAUAUCCAGAUGAUAAGGAAGCUGGUGGAAAUGGUGAAGGCGAGGCCGUAGUUAACGUUAACGUCCCUAUUGAGGAGGAAGACGAGGAGGACGCCAAUCGCAAAGGUGCAUAGACUGAGCUUUGGAAUCCAUGGCUAGCUCCUCUUCAUAGCAGAUCCAAUUAUGCAUCAGCAGAGAUUAGGUGUGGCAUGCUAAGAGAGACAUGGCGUUGUUUUGUUGGACCAUCUGCAAAAUAGAAAUACUUCUUUUGCUUCUCUCUUGUCAUCGGUUCCCAUGUAUGAAAAAUAGAGAGAGACUUGUGGUGAUAUAAGUAUGGCUAAUGAAUGUAAGGUUUUCAGAUUAUCUGCUAGUCCUUUAGAAACAUGUUUUUGCUGGAUUGUUAUGUACAUCAUUUUUCUCUUGAAGAUUGAAUCUCUACGAGUUU
RNAcentral lists this unclassified non-coding RNA (440 nucleotides) under Hevea brasiliensis (rubber tree). The record is from RNAcentral. Lineage: Eukaryota; Viridiplantae; Streptophyta; Magnoliopsida; Malpighiales; Euphorbiaceae.